Molecule: long non-coding RNA, 421 nt
Organism: Sebastes umbrosus (honeycomb rockfish)
Lineage: Eukaryota; Metazoa; Chordata; Actinopteri; Perciformes; Sebastidae
Exons: 3
Source: RefSeq, a predicted model, not a curated record
AUUACUGUUAUCAUCUUGAUAUGUCUGGUUUGUGUGCUGACUAUAUCUCUUGGUUUAAUGAUCUACUGUACCAUACAGUACAUUUCCUGUAAGUCAGUGGCGUAUCAGUGGGUUUUCCCGGCAUAAUGCAUGGUCUUGAUAAGUAACUCUGUGAGGAAAACCCAGGUGACAAUUUCAGACUCAAUAAUAUACUUUAUAUUCCAAAGUAAUGUAAAAAAAAUACUCAAAAAGAGUGUUUAAAGAGGAAGCCAAGGUAUCAACAUUUCAGAAGGACAAUUCAUCAGAGACAUCGUGACAACAUAAAGACUGUGAUUCUUGCUCUUUUUGUAUUGUUGGUUGUCAGCCAGAGUGAAGCCUUGAGGUGUAACUAUGGAGGCUUGCGGAUAUGUUCAGGAGCUCAAGUGGAGACCUGCUCCGGUUC